ACGAUGCAUAUAAUCCGCAUUUCUUCUUCCGGGUCUGGUUGGAGGGCGAUGGUACGACAACGCCAUAGACACGCAGUUAGGACUUCGAAGUUGGAAGAGCGACGAAGGUGAGGAGGGAGGAGACGACAAAUGGCGGCCAUUUCAGUAUGACCGAAGAAGAAAGAGCGGUGGAUCAUGUCAUCGACAGGGAUGAUGGUGCCCUUAAUGUCCUCCACCUCGUCAUAUUCAUGGUGAACACAGGUCACUCGCGGCGGGUCUCUCGCGGUUAGUAAGUGUCUUUCCCAGACGGGUUGGACAGAGGGAGAGUUUGCUCCUCGGGCCAUCUCCGCCACAGCAGUCAUGAACUGGACGAGACCAAAUGCAUCGCUCAUGGUGUGGUUCAGGCGGAGAGCGAAGAUAAAGCCGCCACACUUCAGGCGUGUAACCUAUUGUAUUUUUAAAGAAAUCAAAAAUUAAAAUUCAAUUGUAUAUAGUUGAAUACUUUACAUACAUAUAUAUAAAUCAAAAUUACUGAGUAACUUGUGCUAAAAGGCCAACUACAUGCGAAGUUGGCAUGACUCUAACAGGAUACCAUCCAUUACAUGAAUCUUGUUAUUUUUUUUAAAUAUAUAUGUAUAUAUAUAUAAAUUACUUAAUUUAUGCAUAAUUAAUCAAUUGAUAUACUUUUUAAUACUUAGAUUUUUUUUUAAGUUUCAUAGUUUAAAAUCUUUUUUAUAAGGUGGAGAAUAUAUUGUUAGCAUGACUAUUUUUUUCAUGAAUAUUUAUUUAAAAUCUUUUUAUAUUUGAAUAUAUAAUAAAA
RNAcentral lists this long non-coding RNA (799 nucleotides) under Carica papaya (papaya). RNAcentral's name for it is "long non-coding RNA (CPAP_LNC015498)". The record is from RNAcentral. Lineage: Eukaryota; Viridiplantae; Streptophyta; Magnoliopsida; Brassicales; Caricaceae.